This 258-nucleotide long non-coding RNA is filed under the name Podarcis lilfordi (Lilford's wall lizard). Lineage: Eukaryota; Metazoa; Chordata; Lepidosauria; Squamata; Lacertidae. The record is from RNAcentral.
UCCAGGGAGUCUUCUCUUCUUAUGAGGUGGCCAAAGUAUUGGAGCCUCAGCUUCAGGAUCUGUCCUUCCAGUGAGCACUCAGGGCUGAUUUCCUUAAGAAUGGAGAGGUUUGAUCUUCUUGCAGUCCAUGGAACUCUCAAGAGUCUCCUCCAGCACCAUAAUUCAAAAGCAUCAAUUCUUCGGCGAUCAGCCUUCUUUAUGGUCCAGCUUUCACUUUCAUACAUCACUACUGGGAAAACCAUAGCUUUUACUAUAUGG